This 569-nucleotide long non-coding RNA is filed under the name Lactuca sativa (garden lettuce). Its description in RNAcentral is "long non-coding RNA (LSAT_LNC009846)". The record is from RNAcentral. Lineage: Eukaryota; Viridiplantae; Streptophyta; Magnoliopsida; Asterales; Asteraceae.
AGAUCGGUGGCUAGAGAAGGAGAAGGAGCACCGGUGGGAGGUGCCGGUGGGCUUGAAAGUAAAGGAGAAGGAGCAACCGUCGGAGUCACACUAGGAGUGGGAGAUGAAACGGGGACAGGAGCAGGGGGGGAAGCGAGUGGAGCAGGUGGUGGUGAGGCGACAGGAGGAGGAGUAGCUGGUGGCGGUGAUGCAACAGGAGGAGGAGUAGCAGGAGGUGGUGAUGCAACAGGAGGAGGGGUAGCCGGUGGUGGUGAAGCAACAGGAGGAGGAGUAGUUGGUGGUGGUGAGGCAACGGUGGGAGGUGCGGCUACAGGGGGAGGAGUGGAGGUUGGUGGAGAUGCGACUUGAGGUGGGGGAGCGGUGGUGGUAGGAGGAGGAGAUGCGACGACUUGUGGUGGGGAAGUGGUGGGGGAGGAAGAGGGAGAUUGACCGCCGACGGAGGAGAUGACAAUGCAGAUGAAAGCCGUGAGGAAGACGGCGUUGCGAUCCAUGGUUAACGUGCGCCGCUGAUGGUGGUAUAUGUUAACCUAAAUGGUUGAAGAUGAAGGUAUGGAUACAAAGUGGGAAGU